RNAcentral lists this ribosomal RNA (424 nucleotides) under uncultured bacterium. Its description in RNAcentral is "partial 16S ribosomal RNA". It matches the Rfam family "Bacterial small subunit ribosomal RNA", at positions 359 to 775 of the family's 1533-position model. The record is from RNAcentral.
GAAUAUUGGACAAUGGGCGAAAGCCUGAUCCAGCCAUGCCGCGUGUGUGAAGAAGGUCUUCGGAUUGUAAAGCACUUUAAGGUGGGAGGAAGGGCAGUAAGCGAAUACCUUGCUGUUUUGACGCUACCGACAGAAUAAGCACCGGCUAAAGCCGUGCCAGCCACCCCGGUAAUACAGAGGGUGCAAGCGUUAAUCGGAAUUACUGGGCGUAAAGCGCGCGUAGGUGGUUCGUUAAGUUGGAUGUGAAAUCCCCGGGCUCAAACUGGGAACGGCAUCCAAAACUGGCGAGCUAGAGUAGGGCAGAGGGUGGUGGAAUUUCCUGUGUAGCGGUGAAAUGCGUAGAUAUAGAAAGGAACACCAGUGGCGAAGGCGACCACCUGGGCUCAUACUGACACUGAGGUGCGAAAGCGUGGGGAGCAAACAG